AAUUCGAUGCAACGCGAAAACCUUACCCACCUUUGACAUGGCAGGAAUCCCGAAGAGAUUUGGAGUGCUCGAAAGAGAACCUGCACACAGGUGCUGCAUGGCUGUCGUCAGCUCGUGUCGUGAGAUGUUGGGUUAAAGUCCCGCAACGAGCGCAACCCUUGCCAUUAGUUGCUACGAAAGGGCACUCUAAUGGGACUGCCGGUGACAAACCGGAGGAAGGUGGGGAUGACGUCAAGUCCUCAUGGCCCUUAUAGGUGGGGCUAUACACGUCAUACAAUGGAUGGUACAAAGGGUCGCCAACCCGCGAGGGGGAGCCAAUCCCAUAAAGCCAUUCGUAGUCCGGAUCGCAGUCUGCAACUCGACUGCGUGAAGUCGGAAUCGCUAGUAAUCGUGGAUCAGAAUGUCACGGUGAAUACGUUCCCGGGCCUU
RNAcentral lists this ribosomal RNA (429 nucleotides) under uncultured Comamonas sp. RNAcentral's name for it is "bacterial SSU rRNA". It matches the Rfam family "Bacterial small subunit ribosomal RNA", at positions 948 to 1382 of the family's 1533-position model. Lineage: Bacteria; Pseudomonadati; Pseudomonadota; Betaproteobacteria; Burkholderiales; Comamonadaceae. The record is from RNAcentral.